RNAcentral lists this ribosomal RNA (956 nucleotides) under human vaginal metagenome. RNAcentral's name for it is "bacterial SSU rRNA". It matches the Rfam family "Bacterial small subunit ribosomal RNA", at positions 8 to 955 of the family's 1533-position model. The record is from RNAcentral.
AGAGUUUGAUCCUGGCUCAGGAUGAACGCUAGCUAUAGGCUUAACACAUGCAAGUCGAGGGGCAGCGAAUAGAUAGCUUGCUAUUUAUGUCGGCGACCGGCGCACGGGUGAGUAACGCGUAUCCAACCUACCCAUAACUAAGGGAUAACCCAGCGAAAGUUGGACUAAUACCUUAUGUAUUCGUUUGAUCUCAUGAGAUUACGAAUAAAGAUUUAUCGGUUAUGGAUGGGGAUGCGUCUGAUUAGCUUGUUGGCGGGGUAACGGCCCACCAAGGCAACGAUCAGUAGGGGUUCUGAGAGGAAGGUCCCCCACAUUGGAACUGAGACACGGUCCAAACUCCUACGGGAGGCAGCAGUGAGGAAUAUUGGUCAAUGGACGCAAGUCUGAACCAGCCAAGUAGCGUGCAGGAUGACGGCCCUAUGGGUUGUAAACUGCUUUUAUAUGGGGAUAAAGUGGGGAACGUGUUCCCUUUUGCAGGUACCAUAUGAAUAAGGACCGGCUAAUUCCGUGCCAGCAGCCGCGGUAAUACGGAAGGUCCGGGCGUUAUCCGGAUUUAUUGGGUUUAAAGGGAGCGUAGGCUGUCUAUUAAGCGUGUUGUGAAAUUUACCGGCUCAACCGGUGGCUUGCAGCGCGAACUGGUCGACUUGAGUAUGCAGGAAGUAGGCGGAAUUCAUGGUGUAGCGGUGAAAUGCUUAGAUAUCAUGACGAACUCCGAUUGCGCAGGCAGCUUACUGUAGCAUAACUGACGCUGAUGCUCGAAAGUGCGGGUAUCAAACAGGAUUAGAUACCCUGGUAGUCCGCACGGUAAACGAUGGAUGCUCGCUAUUCGUCCUAUUUGGAUGAGUGGCCAAGUGAAAACAUUAAGCAUCCCACCUGGGGAGUACGCCGGCAACGGUGAAACUCAAAGGAAUUGACGGGGGCCCGCACAAGCGGAGGAACAUGUGGUUUAAUUCGAU